GUGCUCACUUCGGCAGCACAUAUAUUAAAAUUGGAGUAAGAAGAUUAGCAUGGCCCCUGUGCAAGGAUGACACACAAAUUUGUGAACUGUGCCAUAUUUUU
This is a small nuclear RNA of Pongo abelii (Sumatran orangutan), 101 nucleotides long. The record is from Ensembl. NCBI's taxonomy places the organism in Eukaryota, Metazoa, Chordata, Mammalia, Primates, Hominidae.